This is a long non-coding RNA of Notothenia coriiceps (black rockcod), 943 nucleotides long. RefSeq lists it as uncharacterized. NCBI's taxonomy places the organism in Eukaryota, Metazoa, Chordata, Actinopteri, Perciformes, Nototheniidae. The transcript is spliced from 3 exons. The record is from RefSeq and is a predicted model, not a curated record.
UCUCGCUCCCUCCCCUCUCUCCUCCCCCUCCCUCUCUUCGCAUCUCUGUUUUGCCUGGACUGAGGGACGCAUGCGGCUGGAUCAGUGUCCCCGCGUCUCCCGGAGCGGAGCCAACCAUCCCACCCCAGACGGCCGGAGUGUUUCCCUCCGCCCUCUUUGAAGAUUCAUCAGACGGCUUUCCCCGCGCUUUACCGCCGAGCGUCAGAGAGCAGCGUGCCAGGUAUCAUGACGCACCACAAAAUUGGGCACUUGCUUGGACUUCUCUCCCUUGAGUCUUGAGACAUGCGGAGAUGGAUCCUUGCUCUGUCACUGCAGCGUCGCAUCUCUCCAAGUGAGAAGACUCGCUCUGCAAAUGCGCUUGAACAAACUUGGACCGCUGCCUCUGUCCGUUGCGAGCAAAUCCAAUCCAGGCUCAUCUCCAGCUCUGCAAACCUCUGUCUCUGCUGACUAACGAUGUGGAGGACAGUGGUGUGACACUGCAAGGAGACUUCACAGCCCAGAACUAUUACCUAACUAUUCCACAUAAACUUUUUAAAGCGCUAUCUUUGAGGUGGAAAAAAACUGGAGACCGCACACCUCUUCGAGCGUUUUAUCUUUUCACCUGGAAUAAACUGACUGUCCAAAAUCCAAAAUAGAUCCGACUCCAAGGGAUGCGUAAACGAGCAUGAUGCUCUGCUUUCUGCCGCUGUUAACACACAUAGGGAACGAGGUCGGAUUAUAAACUAUGUGGAGUCAUUUCUGAGGAUUAUUGAUUCGCUGCUCACCCCGGGUGUAUGGAGAAGAGCAGCCCGAGGAUGACGGGCGGAACCCGGGAGGCACCUGUGAACUCCUCUCCAGCGGUGGCGUCCAACGCGGAGGGCGAGGAGAUCGAGGUUUUGGAAAGCACUGACGUCCUCCCCGUGGCUCAAGAGGACCAAUGGAAGUCUCUGUUUGACAAGGUAUG